UUUCUCCGGGAAUCGCCCACACGAGCCAGAUGCCGCCCUCUCCUUCCGGUGGCGGCCGCGCGGGGCCCGCUCCCCAGGACGCCGGCCCCCGAGUGCCCGCGCGGCCCGGCGACUCUGCCGCCCCAAGUUCGCCCGCCGCCUCACGAGCGCCAACGCGUCUCGCACUUGGCAGACAGCGAGCAGGUUCUCCAGCACAGUGUUGAACAGAAGUAGCAAGAGUGGAUAUCCUUUUCUUUGUCCUAAUCCGAGGGCGAAAGUAUCCAGUCUUUCACCAUCAUAAACAAAGGCUUAAGGAAGGAAAGUGACUUGACCAAACUCAUACCAGUUGCUGGGCAAAGUCAGAACCGGAAACACAAGGAAAUAGAGAAUGAAAUCUGAAGAGUGACAGGUACAGGUGGUACAGUUCUGCACUGAUGAAGAUAAAAUGAAGAGAGACCUCAUCAAGCUCGGGAAAUGGAUAGAAAAGUAUCCGGGAGUUCUCGGUGUGGGCAACAAGCAGACAGCUUCUGUUCUCAGAUUGUGAUUGGCUUCCAGGAAGAAACCUUUCCUUCCUAAUAUGCUGCCCUCACCUCUUUGACUCCAGAGGAAAGCGCUCACUCUGUUCUGUGUCAUUUCAUCUCAGCUGUGAAACAGAUCUUCCCUUCAUUCACUAGAGCCCCCGGAGACCAGGCUGCACUACUAACAAGCUUAACUGAAGGUUGGGGAAUAACAGAAGAGGAGCACAUUGUCUAACUGCUGCUAGGUUUGGCUGCCAGAUGUGCUUACCCCUGAACUCAGGGAGGCUCAGACCCCUUCUGAGUUUAUGCCUAUUUGGUUCCCACCCCAGUGCAGCUCACUCCAACCGCAGAAGCAGAUCUAACAACCGCACAACUCCAAACACAAGCCCAAGCCAAGCUCCAGAGAUGGAAAGGAGAUGUUUCCUCCUUCCAGUUCAAGGCCAACCUUUCCAAUCAUCACUCAUUGGUACCAGUAUCUUACUUAUCCCAUGGUUCCCAGUAGGAUAAUGCAUCAAAACACAACAGCCCAACAUCAAUACACUCUAGACAACUCAACCUUAUAUUGCCCACAGGCACUGAUAGUCCUGGCCUGGUUGAGUCCUUUCUGCUCCUUUGUGUGGUCUGUCCACUCACAGGAGGCCCUGCCUGCUCAUUCUUCAUGCAGUCUCCAGAUUUUGCUUCUGGACAACAAUGCGCACAAAUCUCUAAGUAAAUAAGUAAUACUUUUCAGGCACAAUAUAGUCUAAGUUCAUAUGCUAAAGAAAAUAAAUAUUUGUCUAAGGGAGAUACAAUGCUCAGAGAUGCAACUCUGCAGAUUGCAAAACGGGCAUUUGUUGUUGAAUUAUAACACAGGGAUGUUUAGCAACACAGAGUCACCAAUGUAAGACAAGGCCUUUGCUUACGUAUGAACACCUAAAUGACUCAUUCUGAUUAUUUUUCCAAAAUACGAAAACAUUCUGUCCUGCAGGUGAAUUGCAGCUUCCAUCUCUUGAAAGGAAAACAACGUAUAGCUUUGAAAUCGCUGUGCUUUUCUUCUUCUUUCUGCUCAUCAUGUUUUCAAAAAUCUUUAAGGCUAAGGUUAAGUCAUCCCUCUUAGUUAAGUAUGAUAUUUAAUAGGGUCUAAAAUACAUUUAAUCUAUUUAUUUUGUAUAUUCAACAUCUCUAUAAUCAACGUAUCUUACAACCUAUGGCUUCUCAAAUCACACUCAGCCAAGCAGGAUUCGUGACACAGUUGCCUCUAUCUGUGAGAAAUUAGUCCAUUAUAAAACCGAGCUCACUGAAAGGAUAGUGACUUGGUUUUUCCUGUCAGGGUCUAACUGGACAACUGCACAGCUCCAGACAAUGUCAUUUGAGGAUACUUGAGGUGGGGGUAUAAACGUGUGGUCUGAAAAACUUCCAUGAAUAGCUUCCAGUAGGACCUAUAAAGCUCCAGAAUUAAAACUUUUAUAAUGGGUGCCAGUGGUUUGGAAAAAAGUAUUAGAGACAGUAAUGGAGCCCUCUUAGGAAAUGCCACCUCGCUCAUGUUCUUGGUGGCACAGUGUCUGAUACGCUGUGGAGAUACCAGUUGACUCUGCAUCCAAAAGUGAUUCAGAGGAACCAGCUUCUACAUGUGAAGAAAUUUUAGAGAAUAGUUAAACCAAUUUGUUUUGACUAAUUUACCCUUUGGUAUGCAUGAUAAAUGAUUUUCUUAAAUCUUUG
Long non-coding RNA from Herpailurus yagouaroundi (jaguarundi), 2195 nucleotides. RefSeq lists it as uncharacterized. The transcript is spliced from 5 exons. NCBI's taxonomy places the organism in Eukaryota, Metazoa, Chordata, Mammalia, Carnivora, Felidae. The record is from RefSeq and is a predicted model, not a curated record.